CUUAACCAUUAUGCAAGGCUGCUUAUAAUGUCAGAGGAAUGGUUUCCAGAAUUCACACACAAUCUUAGUGUUCAUGGUAAACUGAACACCAAAAGAUGAGGCAAAUUCUAUGCCCCUAUCCCUGAAUCUGGGCAUGUUUGUGACUACCUUAACCAACGAAUUAUGGAGAAGUGACACUAGAUGACUUCCAAAGCUAUGUCAUAAAAAACAAUGCAGCUUCUACUUUGCCCACUGGGAUACUCACUUUCAGAGACGGGAUCACCUGUUGUGAGGAAGCCCAGACCAAAGGCAGAGCCAGUAGCUCCAAGUGAGCUUUCAGCCAAAAGCCAGCAGCAACCACCAAGCACCUGAGCCAGCCUCUUGGAGACCCAGCUGAGCUGAGCCUUCACUGACUGCAGCUUCAGUCAAGGUCUGAAUGCAACCUCAUGAGAGACCCUCAGUAAGAACUGCUCAGCUGAACCCUGCCUUUCUUGUGGCUGGGAAGCCAGCUACCAUGUCCUGAGGCCACUCUAACAUCCCCGUGAGAGAGCGCCACCAGGGGAGGAAGGAGGCCACCUGCCAGCAGCCAGGGCUGCCCUUCCAGGUGUGUGGGUGGCCACCUGGACGUAGACCCUCCAGCCCCGGUCACCUUCAGAUGACUUCCGUCUCACCUACAGCCUUGAGAGGCUCCCUGAGCCAGAACCAUCAAGCUGAGCUGAUUCCUCCUUGAGUCUAGAAGCUGUGUGAAAUAAUACAUGUUUAUUGUUUUAAGCUGCU
Molecule: long non-coding RNA, 756 nt
Filed under: Homo sapiens (human)
Lineage: Eukaryota; Metazoa; Chordata; Mammalia; Primates; Hominidae
Description: HSALNT0183780
Source: RNAcentral